UACGUAGGGGGCGAGCGUUGUCCGGAUUUAUUGGGCGUAAAGAGCUCGUAGGUGGUUUGUCGCGUUGUUCGUGAAAACUCACAGCUUAACUGUGGGCGUGCGGGCGAUACGGGCAGACUAGAGUACUGCAGGGGAGACUGGAAUUCCUGGUGUAGCGGUGGAAUGCGCAGAUAUCAGGAGGAACACCGGUGGCGAAGGCGGGUCUCUGGGCAGUAACUGACGCUGAGGAGCGAAAGCGUGGGGAGCGAACAGG
Molecule: ribosomal RNA, 253 nt
Filed under: uncultured bacterium
Lineage: Bacteria
Description: partial 16S ribosomal RNA
Rfam family: Bacterial small subunit ribosomal RNA
Source: RNAcentral